UACGUAGGUGACGAGCGUUGUCCGGAUUUACUGGGCGUAAAGAGCGCGCAGGCGGUCGUGCAAGUCGAGUGUGAAAGCCCCCGGCUCAACUGGGGAGGGUCGCUCGAUACUGUUCGACUUGAAGGCGGGAGAGGGAUGCGGAAUUCCCGGUGUAGUGGUGAAAUGCGUAGAUAUCGGGAGGAACACCAGUGGCGAAGGCGGCAUCCUGGCCCGUUCUUGACGCUGAGGCGCGAAAGCUAGGGGAGCAAACGGG
RNAcentral lists this ribosomal RNA (253 nucleotides) under uncultured Acidobacteriota bacterium. Its description in RNAcentral is "uncultured Acidobacteria bacterium partial 16S ribosomal RNA". It matches the Rfam family "Bacterial small subunit ribosomal RNA", at positions 524 to 776 of the family's 1533-position model. The record is from RNAcentral. Lineage: Bacteria; Pseudomonadati; Acidobacteriota.